UACGAAGGGGGCUAGCGUUGUUCGGAAUUACUGGGCGUAAAGCGCGCGCAGGCGGCCUUUUAAGCCAGAGGUGAAAUCCCGGGGCUCAACCUUGGAACUGCCUUUGAAACUGGAGGGCUUGAGGUCGAGAGAGGUGAGUGGAAUUCCGAGUGUAGAGGUGAAAUUCGUAGAGAUUCGGAGGAACACCAGUGGCGAAGGCGGCUCACUGGCUCGAUACUGACGCUGAGGUGCGAAAGAGUGGGGAGCAAACAGG
RNAcentral lists this ribosomal RNA (253 nucleotides) under uncultured bacterium. Its description in RNAcentral is "partial 16S ribosomal RNA". It matches the Rfam family "Bacterial small subunit ribosomal RNA", at positions 524 to 776 of the family's 1533-position model. The record is from RNAcentral.